UACGUAGGGUGCACGCGUUAAUCGGAAUUACUGGGCGUAAAGCGUGCGCAGGCGGUUUUGUAAGUCAGCUGUGAAAUCCCCGGGCUUAACCUGGGAACUGCGUUUGAAACUACAAGGCUAGAGUGUGGCAGAGGGGGGUGGAAUUCCACGUGUAGCAGUGAAAUGCGUAGAGAUGUGGAGGAACACCGAUGGCGAAGGCAGCCCCCUGGGUUAACACUGACGCUCAGGCACGAAAGCGUGGGGAGCAAACAGG
RNAcentral lists this ribosomal RNA (253 nucleotides) under uncultured bacterium. RNAcentral's name for it is "partial 16S ribosomal RNA". It matches the Rfam family "Bacterial small subunit ribosomal RNA", at positions 524 to 776 of the family's 1533-position model. The record is from RNAcentral.